GACCCAGACUCCUACGGGAGGCAGCAGUGGGGGAUAUUGCACAAUGGGGGAAACCCUGAUGCAGCGACGCCGCGUGUGGGAAGACGGUCCUCUGGAUUGUAAACCCCUGUCCCCAGGGACGAAGAUGACGGUACCUGGGGAGGAAGCUCCGGCUAACUACGUGCCAGCAGCCGCGGUAAUACGUAGGGAGCAAGCGUUGUCCGGAAUUACUGGGUGUAAAGGGAGCGUAGGCGGGAUGGCAAGUUGGGUGUUAAAUCUACCGGCUCAACUGGUAGUCGCACUCAAAACUGCUAUUCUUGAGUGAAGUAGAGGCAGGCGGAAUUCCUAGUGUAGCGGUGAAAUGCGUAGAUAUUAGGAGGAACACCAGUGGCGAAGGCGGCCUGCUGGACGACAACUGACGGUGAGGCGCGAAAGCGUGGGGAGCAAACAGGAUUAGAUACCCUUGUAU
Molecule: ribosomal RNA, 448 nt
Filed under: uncultured bacterium
Lineage: Bacteria
Description: bacterial SSU rRNA
Rfam family: Bacterial small subunit ribosomal RNA
Source: RNAcentral